Long non-coding RNA from Apis dorsata (giant honeybee), 668 nucleotides. RefSeq lists it as uncharacterized. The transcript is spliced from 3 exons. NCBI's taxonomy places the organism in Eukaryota, Metazoa, Arthropoda, Insecta, Hymenoptera, Apidae. The record is from RefSeq and is a predicted model, not a curated record.
AUAUAUUUUAUUUCCAAUCUUAGAGAGAGUUUAAAGAAUAAAAGAAAUUAGAAUUGAAGGAGGAUCGUAGAUGCCAAAUCGAACAUUGCCAUUAAGAAAAUGGUUGAUUCGGGUUAAAUGGGAAAGGCUGCUCGUGCUUGCAAGCUUACCGACAGGCUCACGCACUCACACGAGCAUCGACCGAGUUUAAUAUAGACGCGCGUUCGUGCCGCGUUCUCUUCUUGCAUACCGAAAGUGGACCUCGACGACGAAACCAUCACGACUGUUGCUCAGUUCGCUACGGUGAAUGCGUUUAUUUUUCUCUUGUCGAUUCCGUCAAGCCAGACGGUACGUCGGCAUAGGAUUAAAACGGUGGUGGUUCGACGUUACUCUAACGAUCAAAAUUCAACGACCGAAAGAAAAAUUCUUUUUUCGUCAUUUCGACUCGUAUCUUACGCGAUUCGUAUAACUGCGUUUAUAGAGAAUUGUCUAUGCAAACAAUUUUGGAAGGAAGGGAGAUUCUUAAUAUACUUCAGUAUAUCAAGAGUCGCAUAUGCUUCCAGAAGAUGGAUGUUAAUUUGGGAAGACUUUGGUAUCUUGUUAUCUCUAAUGAUGGAAUAUCCCAUUCCUAAAUUGAAUUUCCAAGUAUGUGUAUAAAUCAAUGAAAGAAAAAUCAAGAAUAACGAGUU